Molecule: ribosomal RNA, 498 nt
Filed under: uncultured bacterium
Lineage: Bacteria
Description: partial 16S ribosomal RNA
Rfam family: Bacterial small subunit ribosomal RNA
Source: RNAcentral
GGAUGAACGCUGGCGGCGUGCCUAAUCCAUGCAAGUCGAGCGAACAGACGAGGAGCUUGCUCCUUUGACGUUAGCGGCGGACGGGUGAGUAACACGUGGAUAACCUACCUAUAAGACUGGGAUAACUUCGGGAAACCGGAGCUAAUACCGGAUAACAUGUUGAACCGCAUGGUUCAACAGUGAAAGACGGUCUUGCUGUCACUUAUAGAUGGAUCCGCGCCGCAUUAGCUAGUUGGUAAGGUAACGGCUUACCAAGGCAACGAUGCGUAGCCGACCUGAGAGGGUGAUCGGCCACACUGGAACUGAGACACGGUCCAGACUCCUACGGGAGGCAGCAGUAGGGAAUCUUCCGCAAUGGGCGAAAGCCUGACGGAGCAACGCCGCGUGAGUGAAGAAGGUCUUCGGAUCGUAAAACUCUGUUAUUAGGGAAGAACAAAUGUGUAAGUAACUAUGCACGUCUUGACGGUACCUAAUCAGAAAGCCACGGCUAACUACGUG